Molecule: long non-coding RNA, 722 nt
Organism: Erigeron canadensis
Lineage: Eukaryota; Viridiplantae; Streptophyta; Magnoliopsida; Asterales; Asteraceae
Exons: 2
Source: RefSeq, a predicted model, not a curated record
AAAGUACACGUGCCAUGUUUAAAACAAAUCUUCCACAACUUGAGGACCAAGUAACCACUCAUCUAGUUACCUUAAAUUUGACCUAUAAAUACCCCUUUCCGUUGCCUUCAUUCCGUACAUCCAACACAUCCUUUCUUCCUCUCCAUAUCACACCUCAAGUCUCUUGUUUUCUUCUUGUUUUCUCGUAGCUGAAAUGGCUAUAAAACAACCCCAACAUCAUCCUGAAACAGCCCCGGAAUCAUCGCGAAACACCCUCCAUGAACACCCAUAGGGGCCGUAGGAAGCUGCUGGGUUUCAAGGUUGCAAGGGAUGUUCGAAACACCUAUAAAGGACACGACGGUUGCUCGUGAUAAUUGUAGGAAUAAUAAGAAUAGAAAGAUUUCUAGUUCAUGUUGAAUUCAUUUGAGAUCAUUUCGAGUUUCCAUGUUUCGAGUUGGUUACAAAAUCUUGUAACAAUUAGGCAAGGUUUAGAUGUUCGUGGAUACUGAUCGCUCGUCUUCCUCGUUAACCCAUCCUCUUACUUGUCAGGAAACUAAUUACUCGGAGUAUAAGUAGAAGAAGCAUGCUCUUUGGUAGUCACAUAUGCAUAUUUUCAAGAGUUUUUCUAUUAAGCUAAUCAUGUUGUAGAAUCUCUAGUAUAAGUUCUGUACACUUUAUGUAAGAUCCUGGUUUUUAUAUUAAUAAUAUUUCAAAACGUCUUAUUUAGAGGUCGUUUGUUAUAA